Molecule: long non-coding RNA, 703 nt
Organism: Pyrus x bretschneideri (Chinese white pear)
Lineage: Eukaryota; Viridiplantae; Streptophyta; Magnoliopsida; Rosales; Rosaceae
Exons: 3
Source: RefSeq, a predicted model, not a curated record
CCGUCUUUGGAUGCAGCACUGCCACAGGAAGGAACUGAUAUCUGUUGCCAAAAUCUCUGGCUGCAUGGUGAACUUCAUGGAAGUUGAAAUGCCCGUCUAGAGGAAGUGUUUUCAACGAAGGGGUGUUUGGAGAACAAAGUAAAAAUUAUUGCUUCUACCUGGAUGCAUCGGAUGACAGUUGCAUAUCAGAUGACGGAGACCGAAGCCUGCCUUCUGGCCGUGGUGGUGUUCAUUUGAGAUUGGGAGGGAGGAAAGUGAUGGGUCCAUGUGGCACGUGAAGUUGAAAUGGUUUGUGCGUUUUGUGGGGUUGAAAUGCUUUGAUUUGUGUCUGUAUUGGGACCCUUCUGGCUCACUUUGAACGGGCGAAGGAACACUACUCUUCUGCCCAUCAACUGCUACUGCUAAUAUCAAGCCUCCCAGCAAAUGGACAACUUUGAAUGAUUCUCUUGUUUGUAUGUUUUAUUCAGAAAAUAAUUUCCACAAAUCUCUUUUCUCGUUCUGUACAUUCUUGUUUAUUUCUUCCUUCUCGUUAAUUUAUUCGGUCCACAUGCCAAAAAUAGACAGGGAUGUGCAUGGGAUAAAAGCGGCAUGUGGAAAUUAUUUUCCUUUUUCAGCUUUUUCUCUGCAACUUGUGUUUUUGAGCACCAAUUGGAAAUUUGCAUCUCUAUGGGGAGCAAGCAAUAUUCCAUCUCCCCUUUCCCUA